CUACGGGCUGCUCCAGUGGGGAAUAUUGCGCAAUGGGGGAAACCCUGACGCAGCAACGCCGCGUGGGUGAAGAAGGCCCUCGGGUCGUAAAGCCCUGUCAGGAGGGAAGAAAGUACGUUCGGUCAAUACCCGGUCGUAUUGACGGUACCUCCAAAGGAAGCACCGGCCAACUCCGUGCCAGCAGCCGCGGUAAUACGGAGGGUGCAAGCGUUGUUCGGAAUCACUGGGCGUAAAGCGCGUGUAGGCGGCCCUGCAAGUCAGAUGUGAAAUCCCUGGGCUCAACCCAGGACGUGCAUUUGAGACUGCCGGGCUUGAGUACGGGAGAGGAGAGCGGAAUUCCUAGUGUAGAGGUGAAAUUCGUAGAUAUUAGGAGGAACACCAGUGGCGAAGGCGGCUCUCUGGCCCGAUACUGACGCUGAGACGCGAAAGCGUGGGUAGCAAACAGGAUUAGAUACCCCAGUAGUC
This 465-nucleotide ribosomal RNA is filed under the name uncultured bacterium. Its description in RNAcentral is "partial 16S ribosomal RNA". It matches the Rfam family "Bacterial small subunit ribosomal RNA", at positions 339 to 795 of the family's 1533-position model. The record is from RNAcentral.